AUAAGAAAAUACAUGGGUCCUCGGGCACCAAGUGUCAGGGAGGCUGAAAGGAACGUUUGAUUGAUUUUUGUCAAUGCGGUAACAACGCAAGGGACGCCAUUGUGUGAGUUGAUGAAUCAUCCAAAUUUGAGGGACCCAGUUCAAUAUCCGCCAAUAAAUUCAUGAUAUUCGGCGUUAAUUACUUCUUGGCUUUCGUUCAACACACGAAUGUCCCGGUCGUCGGGAUCCUUUCAUCCGUCAUGUAUCCAUGGGCGAACGACGUUAUCGCAAAUCCUGACAAUACAGCUUAUAUUCCCAACGUGAUGUCGGACGUCGGUGCAGGGAUGAACUUUUGGCAAAGAGUAAAGUUAACUCACACUACAGUCUAAGCGGUGCCAGUUGCGGAAGUCGAACGUCUUCACAUAGACGAGAAUAAAGCAAAAAUACGAAACUUAGGUGUUUGAUGAAGUUUUCCACUUCAAGAUGGUUCCUGAGUGUCCUUUUUACAAGCUGCGCUAGUGUUGCAUGAUCUACGCAUAUGGAUGGAUGAUGGUGUAAAUGGCAUCGUUUUAAUCUCUUUCAGAUUCGUGUUGAAAAUAGAAUCAUUUCCUGAAAGAAGUUUUGCUGCUUUUGCGCUUCUCUGGAAAAAUUCGCUCAGAUUUGUGUAUCCAUGAAAGUUGCAAUGCCGGAUGAAUU
This 675-nucleotide long non-coding RNA is filed under the name Neodiprion lecontei (redheaded pine sawfly). RNAcentral's name for it is "uncharacterized LOC124292820". Lineage: Eukaryota; Metazoa; Arthropoda; Insecta; Hymenoptera; Diprionidae. The record is from RNAcentral.